This 449-nucleotide ribosomal RNA is filed under the name uncultured bacterium. RNAcentral describes it as "partial 16S ribosomal RNA". It matches the Rfam family "Bacterial small subunit ribosomal RNA", at positions 29 to 523 of the family's 1533-position model. The record is from RNAcentral.
AACGAACGCUGGCGGCAGGCUUAACACAUGCAAGUCGAACGAGAUCUUCGGAUCUAGUGGCAGACGGGUGAGGAACACGUGGGAACAUCCCUUUCAGUUCGGAAUAAAGUUGGGAAACUAACGCUAAUACCGGAUACGUCCUUAGGGAGAAAGAUUUAUCGCUGAGAGAUUGGCCCGCGUCUGAUUAGCUAGUUGGUGAGGUAAUGGCUUACCAAGGCUACGAUCAGUAGCUGAUCUGAGAGGAUGAUCAGCCACAUUGGGACUGAGACACGGCCCAAACUCCUACGGAAGGCAGCAGUGGGGAAUAUUGGACAAUGGGCGCAAGCCUGAUCCAGCCAUGCCGCGUGAGUGAUGACGGCCUUCGGGUUGUAAAGCUCUUUUGUCCGGGAAGAUAAUGACUGUACCGGAAGAAUAAGCCCCGGCAAAUUUCGUGCCAGCCGCCGCCGUAA